RNAcentral lists this ribosomal RNA (478 nucleotides) under uncultured organism. RNAcentral's name for it is "partial 16S ribosomal RNA". It matches the Rfam family "Bacterial small subunit ribosomal RNA", at positions 330 to 799 of the family's 1533-position model. The record is from RNAcentral.
CGUACACUCCUGCGGGAGGCAGCAGUGGGGAAUAUUGCACAAUGGGCGCAAGCCUGAUGCAGCCAUGCCGCGUGUAUGAAGAAGGCCUUCGGGUUGUAAAGUACUUUCAGCGGGGAGGAAGGCGAUAAGGUUAAUAACCUUGUUGAUUGACGUUACCCGCAGAAGAAGCACCGGCUAACUCCGUGCCAGCAGCCGCGGUAAUACGGAGGGUGCAAGCGUUAAUCGGAAUUACUGGGCGUAAAGCGCACGCAGGCGGUCUGUCAAGUCGGAUGUGAAAUCCCCGGGCUCAACCUGGGAACUGCAUUCGAAACUGGCAGGCUAGAGUCUUGUAGAGGGGGGUAGAAUUCCAGGUGUAGCGGUGAAAUGCGUAGAGAUCUGGAGGAAUACCGGUGGCGAAGGCGGCCCCCUGGACAAAGACUGACGCUCAGGUGCGAAAGCGUGGGGAGCAAACAGGAUUAGAAACCCGAGUAGUCCCAUG